GGCACUCAUAUAUAUAUAUAUAUAUAUAUAUAUAUAUAUAUAUAUAUAUAUGUAUGUAUGUAUAAUGCCCU
This is a non-coding RNA of Podarcis lilfordi (Lilford's wall lizard), 71 nucleotides long. NCBI's taxonomy places the organism in Eukaryota, Metazoa, Chordata, Lepidosauria, Squamata, Lacertidae. The record is from the annotation of a GenBank genome assembly.